AGCAGCCGCGGUAAUUCCAGCUCCAAUAGCGUAUAUUAAAGUUGUUGCAGUUAAAAAGCUCGUAGUUGAAUUUCGGGAUCAAUGCGUCGGUCGUGCUUUCGGGUACGUACUGGUGUCAUUGGUUUCUCCUUUCUGACGAGCCGUGAUGUCAUUAAUUUGGUGUUACGGGUAGUUAGGACUGUUACUUUGAAAAAAUUAGAGUGUUUAAAGCAGGCAUUCGCUUGAAUACAUUAGCAUGGAAUAAUGAAAUAGGACGUUCGACCCUAUUUUGUUGGUUUCUAGGACCACCGUAAUGAUUAAUAGGGAUAGUUGGGGGCAUUAGUAUUCAAUUGUCAGAGGUGAAAUUCUUGGAUUUAUUGAAGACUAACUACUGCGAAAGCAUUUGCCAAGGAUGUUUUCAUUAAUCAAGAACGAAAGUUAGGGGAUCGAAGACGAUCAGAUACCGUCGUAGUCUUAACCAUAAACUAUGCCGACUAGGGAUCGGAUGAUGUUAAUUUUUUAAUGUACUCAUUCGGCGCCU
RNAcentral lists this ribosomal RNA (520 nucleotides) under uncultured Glomus. Its description in RNAcentral is "SSU rRNA". It matches the Rfam family "Eukaryotic small subunit ribosomal RNA", at positions 569 to 1088 of the family's 1831-position model. The record is from RNAcentral. Lineage: Eukaryota; Fungi; Glomeromycota; Glomeromycetes; Glomerales; Glomeraceae.